This 253-nucleotide ribosomal RNA is filed under the name uncultured bacterium. Its description in RNAcentral is "partial 16S ribosomal RNA". It matches the Rfam family "Bacterial small subunit ribosomal RNA", at positions 524 to 776 of the family's 1533-position model. The record is from RNAcentral.
GACGUAGGGCGCGAGCGUUGUCCGGAUUUAUUGGGCGUAAAGAGCUCGUAGGCGGCUCGUUGCGUCGGCUGUGAAAACCCGCAGCUCAACUGUGGGCUUGCAGCUGAUACGGGCGGGCUUGGAUUCGGUAAGGGAGACUGGAAUUCCUGGUGUAGCGGUGAAAUGCGCAGAUAUCUGGAGGAACACCGGUGGCGAAGGCGGCAUCCUGGACCAUUACUGACACUGAAUAGCGAAAGCCAGGGGAGCAAACGGG